RNAcentral lists this transfer RNA (83 nucleotides) under Vibrio sp. D406a. RNAcentral describes it as "tRNA-Thr". It matches the Rfam family "tRNA", at positions 9 to 71 of the family's 71-position model. From Rfam's summary of the family: Transfer RNA (tRNA) molecules are approximately 80 nucleotides in length. Their secondary structure includes four short double-helical elements and three loops (D, anti-codon, and T loops). Further hydrogen bonds mediate the characteristic L-shaped molecular structure. tRNAs have two regions of fundamental functional importance: the anti-codon, which is responsible for specific mRNA codon recognition, and the 3' end, to which the tRNAs corresponding amino acid is attached (by aminoacyl-tRNA synthetases). tRNAs cope with the degeneracy of the genetic code in two manners: having more than one tRNA (with a specific anti-codon) for a particular amino acid; and 'wobble' base-pairing, i.e. permitting non-standard base-pairing at the 3rd anti-codon position. The record is from RNAcentral. Lineage: Bacteria; Pseudomonadati; Pseudomonadota; Gammaproteobacteria; Vibrionales; Vibrionaceae.
AGCUCACGCUGUGAAGGCACCCAAGUACGAGCAACUGACUUGUAAUCAGUAGGUCACCAGUUCGAUUCCGGUAGUCGGCACCA